This is a non-coding RNA of Misgurnus anguillicaudatus (oriental weatherfish), 191 nucleotides long. The record is from RefSeq and is a predicted model, not a curated record. NCBI's taxonomy places the organism in Eukaryota, Metazoa, Chordata, Actinopteri, Cypriniformes, Cobitidae.
AGAGGUUCACCUCAACAAGAUAACGGUUCAAGGUUACUUUAUUGAAGAUGAAAUGGCGUCAAGUUUGGAUUGUGAAGACGAUCCCUCUUCCUGGAUCUGUCUAUCUCUUAAUGAGGGCGUGUCUACUGAGUCUGGACCUUGUCAAACAGAUGCAGUUAGCACACAAAGGCCAUUUGGUGAUCGCCCUAACA